CCUACGGGUGGCAGCAGUAGGGAAUCUUCCACAAUGGGCGAAAGCCUGAUGGAGCAACGCCGCGUGGGUGAAGAAGGUCUUCGGAUCGUAAAACCCUGUUGUUAAGGAAGAAAGUGCGUGAGAGUAACUGUUCACGUUUCGACGGUAUCUAACCAGAAAGGCACGGCUAGAUACGUGACAGCAGCCGCGGUAAUACGUGGGUGGCAAGCGUUAUCCGGAUUUAUUGGGCGUAAAGGGAACGCAGGCGGUCUUUUAAGUCUGAUGUGAAGGCCUUCGGCUUAACCGGAGUAGUGCAUUGGAAACUGGGAGACUUGAGUGCAGAAGAGGAGAGUGGAAAUCCAGGUGUAGCGGUGAAAUGCGUAGAUAUAGGGCAGAACACCAGUGGCGAAAGCGGCUCUCGGGUCUGUAACUGACGCUGAGGUUCGAAAGCGUGGGUAGCAAACAGGAUUAGAUACCCUUGUAGUC
Molecule: ribosomal RNA, 465 nt
Filed under: uncultured bacterium
Lineage: Bacteria
Description: partial 16S ribosomal RNA
Rfam family: Bacterial small subunit ribosomal RNA
Source: RNAcentral